Molecule: ribosomal RNA, 253 nt
Filed under: uncultured bacterium
Lineage: Bacteria
Description: partial 16S ribosomal RNA
Rfam family: Bacterial small subunit ribosomal RNA
Source: RNAcentral
UACGUAGGGGGCAAGCGUUGUCCGGAAUUAUUGGGCGUAAAGAGCGCGUAGGCGGUCCGAUAAGUCGGCUGUGAAAGUCAGGGGCUCAACCCUUGAAAGCCGGCCGAUACUGUCGGACUAGAGUCCGGAAGAGGCAAGUGGAAUUCCCGGUGUAGCGGUGAAAUGCGCAGAUAUCGGGAGGAACACCAAUGGCGAAGGCAGCCCCCUGGGUUAACACUGACGCUCAUGCACGAAAGCGUGGGGAGCAAACAGG